AGAGUNNUNUCCUGGCUCAGAUUGAACGCUGGCGGCAGGCCUAACACAUGCAAGUCGAGCGGAUGAAAGGAGCUUGCUCCUGGAUUCAGCGGCGGACGGGUGAGUAAUGCCUAGGAAUCUGCCUGGUAGUGGGGGACAACGUUUCGAAAGGAACGCUAAUACCGCAUACGUCCUACGGGAGAAAGCAGGGGACCUUCGGGCCUUGCGCUAUCAGAUGAGCCUAGGUCGGAUUAGCUAGUUGGUGAGGUAAUGGCUCACCAAGGCGACGAUCCGUAACUGGUCUGAGAGGAUGAUCAGUCACACUGGAACUGAGACACGGUCCAGACUCCUACGGGAGGCAGCAGUGGGGAAUAUUGGACAAUGGGCGAAAGCCUGAUCCAGCCAUGCCGCGUGUGUGAAGAAGGUCUUCGGAUUGUAAAGCACUUUAAGUUGGGAGGAAGGGUUGUAGAUUAAUACUCUGCAAUUUUGACGUUACCGACAGAAUAAGCACCGGCUAACUCUGUGCCAGCAGCCGCGGUAAUACAGAGGGUGCAAGCGUUAAUCGGAAUUACUGGGCGUAAAGCGCGCGUAGGUGGUUUGUUAAGUUGGAUGUGAAAUCCCCGGGCUCAACCUGGGAACUGCAUCCAAAACUGGCAAGCUAGAGUAUGGUAGAGGGUGGUGGAAUUUCCUGUGUAGCGGUGAAAUGCGUAGAUAUAGGAAGGAACACCAGUGGCGAAGGCGACCACCUNGAC
Molecule: ribosomal RNA, 731 nt
Filed under: Pseudomonas koreensis
Lineage: Bacteria; Pseudomonadati; Pseudomonadota; Gammaproteobacteria; Pseudomonadales; Pseudomonadaceae
Description: bacterial SSU rRNA
Rfam family: Bacterial small subunit ribosomal RNA
Source: RNAcentral